GUUCCGUUCUUGCAUUUAUUCCAAAACUAAGACUGCCUAUUUAUAGGCUUACAAGCAAACUAAAAUGGCUAAAAAAAUCUCAACUAACAUCACAAUUUAUUGCCACUAAUUCAUACUGACUUUGACUGACUAAAUCCAGAAAAUACGGAUCAAAUAUUUGAACUUAAACCAAUAUCUAUGACUUGGUCUAACUGGAAAUUAACACAUCCAAUUUCUGAAUCAACUUUCAACACUCCCCAUUGAUUCAAAAUUUCAAACUCCAAGUUGAUUCUUGAAAAAAAAAAUGUUUUUCACGAGGAAGCGAUUUUGUUUGAAUAUCAGCUAUCUGCUCAUUUGUGUUGCAAUACUGCAGAAUAUUCUGCCUUUUUCCUACAAGCUCUCGAAUGAAGUGAACUUGAAUAUCUAUAUGCUUUGUUGUUUAAUGGUAAGCUGAAUUCUAGGACAUGGCAAUUGUAGCAUUGUUGUCACAAUAGAUUUCAGUUCUUCCCUUUUGUUUCUGAUCAAGGUCUGAAAGUAGCCUUUGUGAUCAUAUGGCUUGACAUGCUGAUGAAGUUACAGCUGCAUAUUUAGCUUCAGAUGAAGAUAAAGUUGUUGUUGCUUGUUUCUUUGAACUCCAUGAUAUGGCUCCUGACCCCAAAUUGAAAAUAUAACCUGAAGUGCUCUUUCUAUCUUCCAAACAACCUACGAAUAACUAUCGGUAAAUACAAACACCUUGAAAUUUGAAACAUGGCAAUACCGUAACACAAAGUCUAUUGUUCCAGCAACGUAGCUCAAGACCCUUUUUGCAACUCCAAGGUGAAUCUUUGAAGGACAAUGCAUGAACCUAGAAAUCAUUCCAACUGAAAAUGCUAUGUUAGGUCUGGUAUGAGUUAAGGAUAUCAAUCCACCAAUCAAGCUUCUAAAAUAACUUGAGUUUGCUUGUUCAGUACCAUCAUCUAUCUGCUACUUUUCAUUCAAAUUCAAAGGUGUUGUUGCAACUAUGCAAUUCGGCAUAUUGAAUAUUUUAGGAAGAUAAGUUGCAUAUUUCCUUUGUGAAACAAAAACUCCGUCUUCAGCUAGCUUCACUUCUAGGCCAAGGAAAUAACGCAAAAGACCCAAAUCUGACAUUUCAAAUUUAUUCUUCAUAUGCUCUUUAAAUUCAUCAAUAAGAGAAGAAGAAUAACCCAUAUAAAUUAUAUCAUCAACAUAAAGACAAAUAAUGAGAAGAUCAAUUUUACCAUGUCUCUUUAAAUAAAGUGUAGGCUCACUUUUGCUUCUUUCAAAUCUAUUUUGAUGAAGGUAAGAAUCAAUCUAACUGUACCAUCCCGUGGAGAUUGUUGUAGACCAUAAAGGGAUUUCUUCAACCUAUAGACCUUGUUUUCCUUUUCCGAAAUGAUGAAACAUUCUGGUUGAGAGACAUAAACUUCUUCCACCAAUUUUCCAUUUAAAAAUGUAGAUCUGAAAUUGAAUUGAAACACAGGCCAACUCAAUUGUGCUGCCAAGGCUAAAAUGGUUCUCACUAUUUCAAAUCGAGCAAUAGGAGAAAAUGUGCCAUCGUAAUCAAUACCUUGUUGUUGGGAAUAUCCCUUUGCCGAGUUGAGCUUUGUGCUUUUCUAUUUUUUCCAUUUGAACGGUGCUUCAUUCGAUAAACCAUUUUACACCAAUAACAUUUUUACCUUCGGGUAGCUCCACCAAUUCCCAUGUCUUAUUUUUCUUAAUUUUCUCAAGCUCUUCUUUUCACUGUGCUACACCAUUCUUCUUUAUUCGCUGCUUCUUUAGAGCUGGUUGGAUUUGAAACAAACAAAGCUUGAUUUGUCUCAUGAAUUUCCCUUAAUGACCUGAAUUUCCUUGGAGAUGACUCAUUUGAAGAAGCUUGUGUGGAAGAAGAGCUGUUAUUACUUGAAGGGCUGGAUGUUAUUGAAUUUGAAAGGACUAUGCUUGGUGAACUAGGAGUUGUUGGUCCCUCUUUUCUAGUUGGUGAAGGUUUACUUGUCGGCACUUUGAUAUGAAUGACUUCAUUAUUCUCAUCGGCAACAUGAUCAUUUUCACGCCAAUUCGAGCUUGCUUCUUCAUCGAAUACAACAUUCCUACUAAUAGCUACGUUGCCAAUAACAUGAUUAUAUUGUCUAUAUGCUUUAUAUUGAGAACAAUAACACACAAAAAUAAAUUUUGCAGAUUUUUCAUCGAGUUUACAACGAUUACGUGAAUCAUUCAAAUCAUAGGCAAUAAGCCAAAAAAAUUUAAGUGACUUACCCAAGGCCUUGUACCAAUCCAAGCUUCAUAUAGAGUUCGGUUCAAAAAAGCUUUUGUCGGAGAUAAAUUUAACAAGUAGACUGCAGUAGCAACAACUUCUGCCCAAAAUUGGUCUAGAAUUUCCUUAGCCUUUAGCAAGCUUCUUUCCAUCUCAACAACUGUCCAAUUCUUCCUUUCAACCACUUCAUCUUGCUCCGGAGUAUUUGGUGCAGUUAAUUUCCUGCAUAAGCCAUUUUUAUCACAAAACUGAUUGAAUUCAUGAGAAACGAACUCACCAUCUCAAUCUGUACGAAGUGGUUUUUUACUUAUUCUAUUUUGCUUUUCAACAAAUGCUUUGAGCCUUUUGAAAGCUUUAAAUGAU
This 2593-nucleotide long non-coding RNA is filed under the name Olea europaea subsp. europaea. Lineage: Eukaryota; Viridiplantae; Streptophyta; Magnoliopsida; Lamiales; Oleaceae. The record is from RNAcentral.